RNAcentral lists this ribosomal RNA (252 nucleotides) under uncultured bacterium. RNAcentral describes it as "partial 16S ribosomal RNA". It matches the Rfam family "Bacterial small subunit ribosomal RNA", at positions 524 to 776 of the family's 1533-position model. The record is from RNAcentral.
UACGGAGGAUGUGAGCGUUAUCCGGAUUUAUUGGGUUUAAAGGGUGCGUAGGCGGACUGUCAAGUCAGCGGUAAAAUUGAGAGGCUCAACCUCUUCCCGCCGUUGAAACUGGUGGUCUUGAGUGGAUGAGAAGUACGCGGAAUGCGUGGUGUAGCGGUGAAAUGCAUAGAUAUCACGCAGAACUCCGAUUGCGAAGGCAGCGUACCGGCAUCCAACUGACGCUGAGGCACGAAAGCGUGGGGAUCAAACAGG